UCUCUUUUAUAACUUCUUCUGCUUAUCAUUAUCUACAGAAAGUCCUUCCUGAUUCCAAAGAGCAGUCUGAUCCAAGUUAUUUCAACUGGGGGGCUAGCACAUCCUCUUCCUCUUCCAAGGCCAGGGCCCACUUCACAGGCAUCUGAUUCAGAAGAUUUCCCUCCCUAACUAGACUCAUCAAACCCCAAGCUUCCUUUCUCUGCUCACUCUUUUGCAUAAUUACACAGUGAGGUCAUGUGUUUACCAUACCAUUGUUCCAUCGCCAUGGAGAUGAUGAGCGACAAAGCACUGGCAAGAAGCCUCCCAUGCAGGAUGAAGCCAAGGAAGAAGAGAAGAGAGGAAGGACACGCCCAUUAACCAAAGGACCCAAAACAUAUCUCAAGGAGCUCAUGAAGUCAUCCUCAUGCACACAGUUUCCCAGGUGUCAGAUCUGUUUGGGCCACAAACCUAAGAAGAACAUCAUGUGAGGAUGAAGGCAGAGAGCAGGGUGAUGCAGCUGAAGCCAAGGACACUGAAGACUUCCUGCAAACCCCCAGAAGCUGGGGCAGAGGCCCUCCAGUCUCCAGAAGAGGCCAACCAUGCUGAUACCUUGACCUUGGACUCCUAGCCCCAGAACUAUGAGAAAUAAAUUUCUGUUAUUUAAGUCA
Molecule: long non-coding RNA, 647 nt
Filed under: Homo sapiens (human)
Lineage: Eukaryota; Metazoa; Chordata; Mammalia; Primates; Hominidae
Description: HSALNT0300904
Source: RNAcentral